Molecule: unclassified non-coding RNA, 191 nt
Filed under: uncultured Cortinariaceae
Lineage: Eukaryota; Fungi; Basidiomycota; Agaricomycetes; Agaricales; Cortinariaceae
Description: sequence contains ITS2
Source: RNAcentral
AUAUAUAUCAACCUUCUCCUUGUUGGAGAGGUGUUUGGAUGUGGGGGUUUGCUGGCCUCUUAAAAAGGUUCAGCUCCUCUGAAAUGCAUUAGCAGAACAACCCGUUCAUUGGCGUGAUAACUAUCUACGCUAUUGAAUGCGAUCAUCGGGGCAGUUCAGCUUUCUAACAGUCUUUGGACAAUUCAUCAUUA